CCUCCCUGGAGCUCUGGCUGCGUGCUGGCUCCCAGAAGAGGAACCUGCUGCAGGCGCCGGCGCGGGCGGCGAGGACGACCUGUUUUUCUGACCCAGCCCGGAAGCGCUGGUGCAGGUGCUACCGGAUCACCCUAACAACCCUCUGGGACCUGUGGCCAUGUGUUCACAACAGCAGCCAUUACAGGUGUUUCCUGAACUCUUGUCGCGAGCCUCUGUCGGCUCCAUCUCAUCGAUCCUCCCAGCAACCCACAAGGAAGCUUCACAGAGAGGCAGAUGCCACACAGGCCACCCACCCAGAUGCAGAGCCAGAUUCCCUGCGUGGACUGGACGGGAGUUUCCCAGCUGGAGUUCUCUCGGCCAAGCUGCCUGUGACAUGGGGUUGGAGGUGCUCCAGAGAGUCAUGGCCACCCCUGGAGGAAGUGACUUGUGGCUGACUGCUCAAGGGGAAGUCCUGUGGCAGUGGAGUCGUCAGCAUUAAUUCAAAUAAGAUCUCUCCCUGCACACAAUCUGCUUUCGUGUUCCUGAUGGAUUGAAUCAAGAGUGAAUGAGCUCCUACUUCGCGAAAGCAAAACAAACUAAACGCAUCAACCACGACCGCAGAGCCCCCAUCUCUCCCAGGAGGGUGAGCCCAUGUUGUGUUUUCAUUUGUCAGAAAUCUAUCUUAGGAAGCCAUUCCUGAGAUCUGUUCUAAUUUAGGCCAUUUUUAAAAAAAAUAAUGCAGUUGAUUCUUUUCCCGUGAUCUUUCUUUUCUCCAUGACUUAAAUUUCCCCAGGAACUAUUCAAAUGCCGCAUCUGGGGUUUUGUUUUUGUUUUUUGAUGAAGUCAUGACUUUCUUUAAACAGUAAUUAUUAAACAAACCAAAGGGAAACCUUCUGUGAGGAUGCUGUUUACAAAUAUCACCACUUUUACAAUCAGUAAUGGAGGUUGCAAAGUGCAGGAUUCUGAGUUCCAGUGAGUCUGGGGAGUUGCUUGAGUCUUCCAAUUGGUUCCUGCCUUGUCCAGAGGGUGGUUUCUCGCAUGGGAAAUGGUCUUCAAUGCCCUUCCCUCCUCCUCCUCUCUCCUAACUCGAUUUUUCCAGGGCUUUCAUGUUUCGCUCCCAUCGCAGGGUCGGGAAUGCCCUGUGCUUGGUGACCAUAGGGUGGUGAAGUCACCCUGCUCUGCUAGAAAAGGGACGAGUGCUGUGUUUUGGGUGGAUGACCAAGGGCUCACUAUCCCGGUGGCUCAUUUCCUGGGGGCCUGUGGGCUGCCGGGAGCACCCUGAGGAGGACAGAGUGGAGUUGCAGCUGCCCAUGCACUGCAGAGGGGACACGGGUGUUGUGCAGCAUCUCGGGAAGGGCGUGGCAGAUGUGGCAGGUGCAUGGCAGGGCCAUUCCAUUCUGUCUGUUGCGGGACCCUCCAUCCAGCUCAGGGCCGUGGAUUGAACAGAGAGACAG
This 1433-nucleotide long non-coding RNA is filed under the name Homo sapiens (human). RNAcentral describes it as "HSALNT0026971". The record is from RNAcentral. Lineage: Eukaryota; Metazoa; Chordata; Mammalia; Primates; Hominidae.